RNAcentral lists this ribosomal RNA (400 nucleotides) under uncultured bacterium. Its description in RNAcentral is "partial 16S ribosomal RNA". It matches the Rfam family "Bacterial small subunit ribosomal RNA", at positions 359 to 774 of the family's 1533-position model. The record is from RNAcentral.
GAAUAUUGCACAAUGGGCGCAAGCCUGACGCAGCGACGCCGCGUGAGUGAUGAAGGCCUUCGGGUCGUAAAACUCUGUCCUCAGGGAAGAAAAUUUGACGGUACCUGAGGAGGAAGCCCCGGCUAACUACGUGCCAGCAGCCGCGGUAAUACGUAGGGGGCGAGCGUUGUCCGGAAUUAUUGGGCGUAAAGGGUGCGUAGGCGGCCUUUUAAGUCAGGUGUGAAAGACCACAGCUUAACUGUGGGGUUGCACUUGAAACUGGGAGGCUUGAGUAUCGGAGAGGGCAGUGGAAUUCCCGGUGUAGCGGUGAAAUGCGUAGAUAUUAGGAGGAACACCAGUGGCGAAGGCGGCUUACUGGACUGUAACUGACACUGAGGCUCGAAAGCGUGGGGAGCAAACA